UUAACUCAAAUUUGUAAGCAGUUGGAACAGCGCCCCUAGCGGCCAACGUAGGCAAACCUUCUAACUCCAUACAAAUUUAAGUUA
Molecule: microRNA precursor, 84 nt
Filed under: Bombyx mori (domestic silkworm)
Lineage: Eukaryota; Metazoa; Arthropoda; Insecta; Lepidoptera; Bombycidae
Description: mir-2807 microRNA precursor family
Rfam family: mir-2807 microRNA precursor family
Source: Rfam by way of RNAcentral